This 492-nucleotide ribosomal RNA is filed under the name uncultured bacterium. RNAcentral's name for it is "partial 16S ribosomal RNA". It matches the Rfam family "Bacterial small subunit ribosomal RNA", at positions 29 to 507 of the family's 1533-position model. The record is from RNAcentral.
AUUGAACGCUGGCGGCAUGCUUUACACAUGCAAGUCGAGCGGUAACAGGCCUUCGGGUGCUGACGAGUGGCGAACGGGUGAGUAAUGCAUCGGAACGUACCCAGAGGUGGGGGAUAACGCAGCGAAAGCUGUGCUAAUACCGCAUGUGAUCUGAGGAUGAAAGCGGGGGACCGAGCAGCAAUGUUUGGCCUCGCGCCUUUGGAGCGGCCGAUGUCGGAUUAGCUAGUUGGUGGGGUAAAGGCCUACCAAGGCGACGACCCGUAGCUGGUCUGAGAGGACGACCAGCCACACUGGGACUGGGACACGGCCCAGACUCCUACGGGAGGCAGCAGUGGGGAAUUUUGGACAAUGGGCGCAAGCCUGAUCCAGCAAUGCCGCGUGCGGGAAGAAGGCCUUCGGGUUGUAAACCGCUUUUGGCAGGAACGAAACGGUGUCCGCUAAUACCGGGCGCUAAUGACGGUACCUGCAGAAUAAGCACCGGCUAACUACGUG